Long non-coding RNA from Lontra canadensis (Northern American river otter), 138 nucleotides. RefSeq lists it as uncharacterized. NCBI's taxonomy places the organism in Eukaryota, Metazoa, Chordata, Mammalia, Carnivora, Mustelidae. The record is from RefSeq and is a predicted model, not a curated record. The transcript is spliced from 3 exons.
AAAAGACAGAACCUGCCUGAGGCCACGUGGCCCUAGGUAUCUCUGAGCAAUUGAUUUAUUUAACUCUAACUGGCUUCCUGUUGAACCUUCCAAAAAAAAAGCAUUUAUGUGGGACGCCUGGGUGGCUCAGUUGGUUAA